This is a long non-coding RNA of Sardina pilchardus (European sardine), 582 nucleotides long. RefSeq lists it as uncharacterized. The record is from RefSeq and is a predicted model, not a curated record. The transcript has 3 exons. NCBI's taxonomy places the organism in Eukaryota, Metazoa, Chordata, Actinopteri, Clupeiformes, Clupeidae.
AGGAGAAAAGGACGGGCUUCGGUUUAUGUGCUUUCCAGUUGAUGAAUAGUACAUAAUGUAACAGUUCAGUUAGAAAAAGUCCUUGUGGACAUUCUAGAAAAAAUCUAAAAGUGUGCAGACUGUAAGUGUCGAUGUUUACAUGUUGCAACCAAGUGAAGUGAAGUGAAUGCAAAACAAGCAGCAUGCUUUAUACGAUAAUCAUUUAAUUUCGUGCUCCACAAAUGACAUUACAGCCAUCUGUGUACCCGGCAUAUAACCCUGCUUGCACUCCGCCUGCACCACCCAGCCCUGUUCAGCACCAUCCUGCCUUUAAGCACACCACCCAUGCCUCCCUGGGAGUCAAGACAAGUGACCCAAUACUUUUGUCAAUAUAGUACCCAUUACAAAGGGGUUUGUUCAAAAUAGCAGUGCUGCGUUCAAUUAGUGAUGUGAUUGAUUAUGUGAAGAAAUAUGUGUCAAUUAUGGCCUAUAUAGGAAGGAACGCAAUAAAUAUUGUGCAUGCUGGUUAUUAUACAUUUCACACUCAUUCAAAUGGAUCGAAGAAUAGCCAAAAUGGCAAAGGCUCAACCAAUGAAAGAACCA